ANUUAACUUAACCUAUGGAUGGGCAUAACCUCGGGAAACUGAGAAUAAUACCCAAUAGACCACAGUGCCUGGAAUGGCCUGUGGUUGAAAUGAUUUAUCGCUGUAGGAUAGGACUGCGGCCUAUCAGCUUGUUGGUGAGGUAAUGGCCCACCAAGGCUAUAACAGGUACGGGCUCUGAGAGGAGGGGCCCGGAGAUGGGUACUGAGACACGGACCCAGGCCCUAUGGGGCGCAGCAGGCGAGAAACCUUUGCAAUGUGCGAAAGCACGACAAGGUUAAUCCGAGUGUCUCCUGCUAAAGGAGUCUUUUGUCAGUUGUAGAAUCACUGGUGACUAAGGGGUGGGCAAGUUCUGGUGUCAGCCGACGCGGUAAAACCAGCACCUCGAGUGGUCAGGAGGUUUAUUGGGCCUAAAGCAUCCGUAGCCGGUUGCAUAAGUCUUCGGUUCAAUUCUAUGCGCUCAAC
RNAcentral lists this ribosomal RNA (462 nucleotides) under uncultured archaeon. RNAcentral's name for it is "bacterial SSU rRNA". It matches the Rfam family "Archaeal small subunit ribosomal RNA", at positions 102 to 563 of the family's 1478-position model. The record is from RNAcentral.